Long non-coding RNA from Cucurbita maxima (winter squash), 941 nucleotides. RefSeq lists it as uncharacterized. NCBI's taxonomy places the organism in Eukaryota, Viridiplantae, Streptophyta, Magnoliopsida, Cucurbitales, Cucurbitaceae. The record is from RefSeq and is a predicted model, not a curated record. The transcript is spliced from 6 exons.
CCCUAACCUUGAUAAGUAUUUGUUCUGUCCAGUCACGGAAUACUGUAUUCGUCGCAUCCAAACACCCUUCGCUGAUGCCAAAAUUUCUAAAUCAAUUUCUUAUCCACCAGCUGUCAAGGAUUUGAAUUUGGCCCAGCCGCGAUCUGCUACUCAUCGUUUAACCACUUCCGCCUUAUCAUCUCGGAUUCGUGCGUUUACGCUGCCAUAGCGGCGCUUUUCUCCUCCGCCACCACUGUCCGCUCCGUCCUACGCCUCCCUAAGUCCUUUCUUUCAAUCCGAGGAUCGCACAACAACGCGCACACUCGAUCAACAUAACACAAAAGAAUAGAGAGAAAAUUCAAAAAGGAAUAUUGGUUAAAGAUUUUAGUGAUGAUUUCAGGCGAGGUGUUUACUGGUGGCAGUGAAAUAUAAGAAGAGAUGCUUUGAAAGCGUAUGAAAAACUGGAAAAGGAGAAAAAACUUCGGGAAGAUAAUGUGAGAGACUUGUCAAGUGACGUUGCAGCUAUAAAUAAGCAGCAUGCUCUUCCAUAAUCCAACAGGGCAGUGUGCCAGUAAGGACGUUGGGCCCCGAAGGGGGGUGAAUUGGAGAGGAGAACGAGUGUCAGUGAGGACGCUGGGACCCGAAGAAUGGUGGAUUGUGAGAUCGCACAUCGAUUGAGAAGGAGAACUAAACAUUAUUUGUGAGAUGUUUGAAGAAGGUGGAUGGCAUAUACAAACAGAAAGAGAAGGAGCGGUUGAAGCGGUGAGACCAGGUGCGUUGCGUUCAAAAGGCAUAGUUUUCAUAUAUUGUGACUUGGAAUAAACAAUAGAUUACUUACCGUGUGUGGACCAAAUAAAUACGAAAAUGAAAUAGAAAGUAGAAACUUGCUGGUAUGAAAGGUAAGAGUUUUGCUGUUUUGAUCGUAACCAAAAAACGUCCUAAUUUAUGAGCGGGUAGACAAA